RNAcentral lists this non-coding RNA (46 nucleotides) under Trichobilharzia regenti. The record is from RNAcentral. Lineage: Eukaryota; Metazoa; Platyhelminthes; Trematoda; Strigeidida; Schistosomatidae.
GUACUGAUGAAGAGUCCCAAAAUAGGACGAAACAGCUGUCCAGAAC